UACGUAGGGUACGAGCGUUGUCCGGAUUUAUUGGGCGUAAAGGGCUCGUAGGCGGCGUGUCGCGUCGGGAGUGAAAGACCGGGGCUUAACCCCGGUUCUGCUUCCGGUACGGGCAUGCUGGAGUGUGGCAGGGGAGACUGGAAUUCCUGGUGUAGCGGUGGAAUGCGCAGAUAUCAGGAGGAACACCGGUGGCGAAGGCGGGUCUCUGGGCCAUUACUGACGCUGAGGAGCGAAAGCGUGGGGAGCGAACAGG
This 253-nucleotide ribosomal RNA is filed under the name uncultured bacterium. RNAcentral's name for it is "partial 16S ribosomal RNA". It matches the Rfam family "Bacterial small subunit ribosomal RNA", at positions 524 to 776 of the family's 1533-position model. The record is from RNAcentral.